This 2307-nucleotide long non-coding RNA is filed under the name Ananas comosus (pineapple). RNAcentral describes it as "long non-coding RNA (ACOM_LNC044358)". The record is from RNAcentral. Lineage: Eukaryota; Viridiplantae; Streptophyta; Magnoliopsida; Poales; Bromeliaceae.
UAAAGUACCGUUAUUUAAGAUGUAAACAUGAGUGUCGCAUUAUAAAGUUUUCAGAUUAAUAAAUACAAUAUAAUUUGUUUUGAAUAUAGCUGUCAAUUUAGUCCUCUAUUUAUAAUAAUAAGCAGCUAACUGAAAAAAAAUAUAUAAACAUUCAAAUGAUAUAUUUAUAAUUAUAAGCACCUACUUGUCAUCCUGAAAUAGUAUCGUAAUCUUUUUUGUUUCUUUAUCGUCCUUGCAGCUUUCUUCCAUUCUACUAAUUCCAGAAAGCUUCCCAAUGACAUCUGAUAAAUUAGAAAAAUAAAAUGUAAGAAUCAAUAUAGUAGGUACACAUAUUAAAAUUUAAAUUUUAAAAAUUAAAUAUUUGAUGCAUAUAACAACUCUUACCUACUAAAUAUUUGUCAUCGGCGACAUUAGCGAGUAUUUCAUCAAAAGAAGUAAAUAUAAAUCCAUACUUUGAUAUUGUCAAAACAUCUUCCAUCUCACGUACAACCGUAGAAUAUUGAAAAUUGAUUUUGUAAGGAUGUAUAGUGGUACUGUAAGAACCGCUGCUCUGCCCCACUCCAAACUGGUUGAUCACAUAAAUUUUUCCUUCCGUAAAAAGGCCUUUAAAUUUGUUCAGGAAAACUUUUCUUACCGUUACAUAUAUCUUAUCUCCCUAUAAUAGAAAAUAAACAAAUUAUGUAGUAUCUUUUAGUAAAAAUAAAGCAAACGUAUGUUCAAUUUGAAAAUGAAAGUCGUAUCUUACAUUUUGAUCAGAAAGAACUAACUCUAGGCUAUUUACUACCUCUUGACGAUGAAAUUCAAGCAUAGUAUACAGACAAAUCACUCUGACUUUGAUCUUCCAUUUGUCUCCAAGAGGAGUGAUGUCUCGUAUAGAAUUAUACCCAAGUGUCAUAUCCUGAGAACAAUGAGACAACCAAGAAAAAAAAAAAAAAAUACUUGCUUCGUAUUUAAAUAAUAAAAUGAAAAUGAUAUGUUCUAUCUUAAAGCAUCAACACUUAAGAACUAAGAAAAUUACAGGAGUGAUAGUAGGGAAAAAAAAUUACGAAAUAAAAAUUACAGAAGGAGUGAUAGUAGGGAAGUGACAUGCAAUAUCUAUAUCUAUACUACUUAUAAAAGCGUGAAUUUUGAAUUUUUUCCUCUUUCCAAAAAUGCCUCUAUCAUUUUUACUAAUAUUUUUAUGUCCAGUAAUUUUCAACCAAUCAUUUCAAAUAAUUAACUAAGUAAUAAUUUAUUCCCAAAUAAAGAUAAAUAUUUUCAUUCUUACGCGUAAUAUCUGCACCCGCCAAUUCUUUCGCAACGUAAUAUCUAUGAAUUUCUCAAAUAUCUCAACAUAAUUAUAGGUGACUUUGAAAUAAAAUCUCCUUCAUUAUAGGUGAUUUUUAAUAAUAUAAUAAAAGAUAUUAAUUUUUUACCAUUAGAUCUUAUCUAAUAAUUGAAAAUAAAAGUAUUUGUUAUUUUUUGUGACAAUAUUACCCUCGUAUUUAUAUCAUAUUUUCUAUAUACGCGUUUCUCAAAUAUUUUCUUUCUUACGCGUAAUAUCCGCACCCGCCAAUUCUUUCGCAACGUAAUAUUCGUGAAUUUCUCAAAUAUCUCAUUAAUCCACCUACCAUUUGAAUUUAAUAAUAUAAUAAAUAGAAUAAAUAUGACAAGCAUAUAGAAAGCCACGUUAGGACUCUUUUUACUAAUAUUUUUAUGUCCAACCAAUCAUUUCAAAUAAUUAACUAAGUAAUAAUUUAUUCUCAAAUAGAGAUAAAUAUUUUCCUUCUCACGCCGAAUAUCCGCACCCGCCAAUUAUUUCGCAACGUAAUAUUCGUGAAUUUUUCAAAUAUCUCAACAUAAUUAUAGGUGACUUUAAAAUAAAAUCCCCUUCAUUAAAGGUGAUUUUUAAUAAUAUGGUAAAAGAUAUUAUUUCCUUAAAAAAUAUAAUUUUAUUUUUCCUAAAAUAGAAAAUCUAUAUUUGAGCUUGUAAUAAUUUAUUCCCAAAUAAAGAUAAAUAUUUUUUUUUCACGCGUAAUAUCCGCACCCGCCAAUUCUUUCGCAACAUAAUAUCCAUGAAUUUCUCAAAUAUCUCAAUAUAAUUAUAAGUGACUUUGAAAUAAAAAUAAAGAUAAAUAUUUUCUUUCUCACGCGUAAUAUCCGCAAAAUCUAAUUUUAUUUUUCCUAAAGUAGAAAAUCUAUAUUUAAGCUUGACACGUGGCAAGCAUAUAAAAAGCCACGUGUCAGCUUCUCAUAUAGAGUUCAUAUAUAGCGGGUUCUAUUUUAGUAUAGAGUAAUAAAUAUGAUGACUAUUGGUUCAAAUUCGAA